Molecule: ribosomal RNA, 828 nt
Filed under: uncultured Bacillota bacterium
Lineage: Bacteria; Bacillati; Bacillota
Description: bacterial SSU rRNA
Rfam family: Bacterial small subunit ribosomal RNA
Source: RNAcentral
AGUCGAACGCGAAAGUUCCCUUCGGGGAGCGAGUAGAGUGGCGCACGGGUGAGUAACACGUAGGUAAUCUACCUUUGGAUUGGGAAUAACACCGAGAAAUCGGUGCUAAUACCGAAUAAUGCAGCGGCACCUAAUGGUGACAGUUGUUAAAGCGGGGGAUCGCAAGACCUCGCGUCUAAAGAGGAGCCUGCGGCGGAUUAGCUAGUUGGUAAGGUAACGGCUUACCAAGGCGAUGAUCCGUAGCCGGCCUGAGAGGGCGGUCGGCCACACUGACACUGACAUACGGGUCAGACUCCUACGGGAGGCAGCAGUCGGGAAUUUUGGGCAAUGGGCGAAAGCCUGACCCAGCAACGCCGCGUGAAGGAUGAAAUCCCUCGGGAUGUAAACUUCGCAAGAACGGGAAGAAUAAGUCGGUGCGAACACCAUCGACGAUGACGGUACUGUUUGUAAGCUCCGGCUAACUCCGUGCCAGCAGCCGCGGUAAUACGGGGGGAGCAAGCGUUGUUCGGAUUUACUGGGCGUAAAGGGCGCGUAGGCGGCCACCGCAAGUCGACUGUGAAAUCUCCGGGCUUAACUCGGAAAGGUCAGCCGAUACUGCGGGGCUAGAGUGCAGAAGGGGCAACUGGAAUUCUCGGUGUAGCGGUGAAAUGCGUAGAUAUCGAGAGGAACACCUGCGGCGAAGGCGGGUUGCUGGGCUGACACUGACGCUGAUUGUGCGAAAGCUAGGGGAGCGAACGGGAUUAGAUACCCCGGUAGUCCUAGCCUUAAACGAUGAAUGCUUGGUGUCUGGGGUUUUAUAGUCCCCGGGUGCCGUCGCUAACGCUUUAA